Molecule: long non-coding RNA, 192 nt
Filed under: Numida meleagris (helmeted guineafowl)
Lineage: Eukaryota; Metazoa; Chordata; Aves; Galliformes; Numididae
Description: lncRNA (ENSNMEG00000013318.1)
Source: RNAcentral
CUUUUUGUCUUAAUGACCAAGUGUUCAGCUGUGCACCUUUAUCCCUUCUAAUCUGCUUUCUGACUUUUCCAGUGAACAAAACAGUUGAUAUUUCAUCAUGGAAUUAGAGGAGAAGGAACACAGUCUGGCAGCUUGCUUCAGGGUGUGGGCCUGUGGAUCCCCCGUCCCCUUCGUCAUGGAACCGGACCGAAC